Molecule: ribosomal RNA, 260 nt
Filed under: Agreia sp. ISO229_OTU3668
Lineage: Bacteria; Bacillati; Actinomycetota; Actinomycetes; Micrococcales; Microbacteriaceae
Also listed under: 5 other names
Description: partial 16S ribosomal RNA
Rfam family: Bacterial small subunit ribosomal RNA
Source: RNAcentral
ACGAACGCUGGCGGCGUGCUUAACACAUGCAAGUCGAACGAUGAAGCCCAGCUUGCUGGGUGGAUUAGUGGCGAACGGGUGAGUAACACGUGAGUAACCUGCCCUUGACUCUGGGAUAAGCACUGGAAACGGUGUCUAAUACCGGAUAUUUCAACUGACCGCAUGGUCUGGUUGUGGAAAGAAUUUUGGUCAAGGAUGGACUCGCGGCCUAUCAGGUAGUUGGUGAGGUAAUGGCUCACCAAGCCUACGACGGGUAGCCG